Molecule: ribosomal RNA, 450 nt
Filed under: uncultured Pacispora
Lineage: Eukaryota; Fungi; Glomeromycota; Glomeromycetes; Diversisporales; Pacisporaceae
Description: SSU rRNA
Rfam family: Eukaryotic small subunit ribosomal RNA
Source: RNAcentral
AGCAGCCGCGGUAAUUCCAGCUCCAAUAGCGUAUAUUAAAGUUGUUGCAGUUAAAAAGCUCGUAGUUGAAUUUCGAAAUUUUUUUAUCGGUUAAAUCAACAGGUUUAUACUGAUUUUAAGAAUUUCUACCUUCUGGAGAACCUUAAUGUCAUUUAUUUGAUGUUUUGGGAAACCAGGACUGUUACCUUGAAAAAUUAGAGUGUUUAAAGCAGGCUUAUGUCUGAAUAUAUUAGCAUGGAAUAAUGAAAUAGGACGGCAUGGUUCUAUUUUGUUGGUUUCUAGGAUCACCGUAAUGAUUAAUAGGGAUAGUUGGGGGCAUUAGUAUUCAAUUGUCAGAGGUGAAAUUCUUGGAUUUAUUGAAGACUAACUUCUGCGAAAGCAUUUGCCAAGGAUGUUUUCAUUAAUCAAGAACGAAAGUUAGGGGAUCGAAGACGAUCAGAUACCGUCGUA